GAUGAACGCUGGCGGCGUGCCUAAUACAUGCAAGUCGAGCGAACAGACGAGGAGCUUGCUCCUCUGACGUUAGCGGCGGACGGGUGAGUAACACGUGGAUAACCUACCUAUAAGACUGGGAUAACUUCGGGAAACCGGAGCUAAUACCGGAUAAUAUAUUGAACCGCAUGGUUCAAUAGUGAAAGACGGUUUUGCUGUCACUUAUAGAUGGAUCCGCGCCGCAUUAGCUAGUUGGUAAGGUAACGGCUUACCAAGGCGACGAUGCGUAGCCGACCUGAGAGGGUGAUCGGCCGCACUGGAACUGAGACACGGUCCAGACGCCUACGGGAGGCAGCAGUAGGGAAUCUUCCGCAAUGGGCGGAAGCCUGACGGAGCAACGCCGCGUGAGUGAUGAAGGUCUUCGGAUCGUAAAACUCUGUUAUUAGGGAAGAACAAAUGUGUAAGUAACUAUGCACGUCUUGACGGUACCUAAUCAGAAAGCCACGGCUAACUACGUG
Molecule: ribosomal RNA, 497 nt
Filed under: uncultured bacterium
Lineage: Bacteria
Description: partial 16S ribosomal RNA
Rfam family: Bacterial small subunit ribosomal RNA
Source: RNAcentral